Acomys russatus (golden spiny mouse) is the source of this 106-nucleotide small nuclear RNA. NCBI's taxonomy places the organism in Eukaryota, Metazoa, Chordata, Mammalia, Rodentia, Muridae. The record is from RefSeq and is a predicted model, not a curated record.
GUGUUCACUGUGGCAGCACACACACUAAAAUUGGAAUGAUACAGAAAAGAUUAGCACCGCCCUUUGCAAGAAAAACAUACAAAUUUGUAAAAAGUUCCUCUUUUUU